GAUGAACGCUAGCUACAGGCUUAACACAUGCAAGUCGAGGGGCAGCAUGACCUAGCAAUAGGUUGAUGGCGACCGGCGCACGGGUGAGUAACACGUAUCCAACCUGCCGAUUAUUCCGGGAUAGCCUUUCGAAAGAAAGAUUAAUACUGGAUAGCAUAACGAGAAGGCAUCUUCUAGUUAUUAAAGAAUUUCGAUAAUCGAUGGGGAUGCGUUCCAUUAGUUUGUUGGCGGGGUAACGGCCCACCAAGACAUCGAUGGAUAGGGGUUCUGAGAGGAAGGUCCCCCACAUUGGAACUGAGACACGGUCCAAACUCCUACGGGAGGCAGCAGUGAGGAAUAUUGGUCAAUGGACGAGAGUCUGAACCAGCCAAGUAGCGUGAAGGAUGACUGCCCUAUGGGUUGUAAACUUCUUUUAUAUGGGAAUAAAGUGGGCCACGUGUGGCUUUUUGUAUGUACCAUACGAAUAAGGAUCGGCUAACUCCGUG
Molecule: ribosomal RNA, 485 nt
Filed under: uncultured bacterium
Lineage: Bacteria
Description: partial 16S ribosomal RNA
Rfam family: Bacterial small subunit ribosomal RNA
Source: RNAcentral